GAUGAACGCUGGCGGCGUGCCUAAUACAUGCAAGUCGAGCGAACAGACGAGGAGCUUGCUCCUUUGACGUUAGCGGCGGACGGGUGAGUAACACGUGGAUAACCUACCUAUAAGACUGGGAUAACUUCGGGAAACCGGAGCUAAUACCGGAUAACAUGUUGAACCGCAUGGUUCAACAGUGAAAGACGGUCUUGCUGUCACUUAUAGAUGGAUCCGCGCCGCAUUAGCUAGUUGGUAAGGUAACGGCUUACCAAGGCAACGAUGCGUAGCCGACCUGAGAGGGUGAUCGGCCACACUGGAACUGAGACACGGUCCAGACUCCUACGGGAGGCAGCAGUAGGGAAUCUUCCGCAAUGGGCGAAAGCCUGACGGAGCAACGCCGCGUGAGUGAAGAAGGUCUUCGGAUCGUAAAACUCUGUUAUUAGGGAAGAACAAAUGUGUAAGUAACUAUGCACGUCUUGACGGUACCUAAUCAGAAAGCCACGGCUAACUACGUGCCAGCAGCCGCGGUAAUACGUAGGUGGCAAGCGUUAUCCGGAAUUAUUGGGCGUAAAGCGCGCGUACGCGGUUUUUUAAGUCUGAUGUGAAAGCCCACGGCUCAACCGUGGAGGGUCAUUGGAAACUGGAAAACUUGAGUGCAGAAGAGGAAAGCGGAAUUCCAUGUGUAGCGGUGAAAUGCGCAGAGAUAUGGAGGAACACCAGUGGCGAAGGCGACUUUCUGGUCUGUAACUGACGCUGAUGUGCGAAAGCGUGGGGAUCAAACAGGAUUAGAUACCCUGGUAGUCCACGCCGUAAACGAUGAGUGCUAAGUGUUAGGGGGUUUCCGCCCCUUAGUGCUGCAGCUAACGCAUUAAGCACUCCGCCUGGGGAGUACGACCGCAAGGUUGAAACUCAAAGGAAUUGACGGGGACCCGCACAAGCGGUGGAGCAUGUGGUUUAAUUCGAAGCAACGCGAAGAACCUUACCAAAUCUUGACAUCCUCUGACCCCUCUAGAGAUAGAGUUUUCCCCUUCGGGGGACAGAGUGACAGGUGGUGCAUGGUUGUCGUCAGCUCGUGUCGUGAGAUGUUGGGUUAAGUCCCGCAACGAGCGCAACCCUUAAGCUUAGUUGCCAUCAUUAAGUUGGGCACUCUAAGUUGACUGCCGGUGACAAACCGGAGGAAGGUGGGGAUGACGUCAAAUCAUCAUGCCCCUUAUGAUUUGGGCUACACACGUGCUACAAUGGACAAUACAAAGGGUAGCGAAACCGCGAGGUCAAGCAAAUCCCAUAAAGUUGUUCUCAGUUCGGAUUGUAGUCUGCAACUCGACUACAUGAAGCUGGAAUCGCUAGUAAUCGUAGAUCAGCAUGCUACGGUGAAUACGUUCCCGGGUCU
RNAcentral lists this ribosomal RNA (1372 nucleotides) under uncultured bacterium. Its description in RNAcentral is "bacterial SSU rRNA". It matches the Rfam family "Bacterial small subunit ribosomal RNA", at positions 28 to 1381 of the family's 1533-position model. The record is from RNAcentral.